CAGCCGCCGCGGUAAUACCAGCCCCGCGAGUGGUCGGGACGGUUAUUGGGCCUAAAGCGCCCGUAGCCGGCCCGGCAAGUCCCUCCUUAAAGCCUCGGGCCCAACCCGAGGACGGGGGGGAUACUGCCGGGCUAGGGGGCGGGAGAGGCCGGCGGUACUCCCGGGGUAGGGGCGAAAUCCGUUAAUCCCGGGAGGACCACCAGUGGCGAAGGCGGCCGGCGGGAACGCGCCCGACGGUGAGGGGCGAAAGCCGGGGGAGCGAACCGGAUUAGAUACCCGGGUAGUCCCGGCUGUAAACGAUGCGGGCUAGCUGUUGGGCGGGCUUAGAGCCCGCCCAGUGGCGCAGGGAAGCCGUUAAGUCCGCCGCCUGGGGAGUACGGCCGCAAGGCUGAAACUUAAAGGAAUUGGCGGG
This 412-nucleotide ribosomal RNA is filed under the name uncultured microorganism. RNAcentral's name for it is "bacterial SSU rRNA". It matches the Rfam family "Archaeal small subunit ribosomal RNA", at positions 459 to 872 of the family's 1478-position model. The record is from RNAcentral.